RNAcentral lists this transfer RNA (71 nucleotides) under Nematobrycon palmeri (emperor tetra). Its description in RNAcentral is "tRNA-Gln". It matches the Rfam family "tRNA". Rfam says of the family: Transfer RNA (tRNA) molecules are approximately 80 nucleotides in length. Their secondary structure includes four short double-helical elements and three loops (D, anti-codon, and T loops). The record is from RNAcentral. Lineage: Eukaryota; Metazoa; Chordata; Actinopteri; Characiformes; Acestrorhamphidae. RNAcentral also lists the same sequence under 1 other name.
UAGGAAAUGGUGUAAUGGAAGCACCUGGAGUUUUGAAUUCUUGAGUAAGGGUCCAAAUCCCUUUUUCCUAA